Molecule: ribosomal RNA, 1343 nt
Filed under: uncultured bacterium
Lineage: Bacteria
Description: 16S ribosomal RNA
Rfam family: Bacterial small subunit ribosomal RNA
Source: RNAcentral
GACGAACGCUGGCGGCGUGCUUAACACAUGCAAGUCGAACGGAAAGGCCCUGCUUUUGUGGGGUGCUCGAGUGGCGAACGGGUGAGUAACACGUGAGUAACCUGCCCUUGACUUUGGGAUAACUUCAGGAAACUGGGGCUAAUACCGGAUAGGAGCUCCUGCUGCAUGGUGGGGGUUGGAAAGUUUCGGCGGUUGGGGAUGGACUCGCGGCUUAUCAGCUUGUUGGUGGGGUAGUGGCUUACCAAGGCUUUGACGGGUAGCCGGCCUGAGAGGGUGACCGGCCACAUUGGGACUGAGAUACGGCCCAGACUCCCACGGGAGGCAGCAGUGGGGAAUAUUGCACAAUGGGCGGAAGCCUGAUGCAGCAACGCCGCGUGCGGGAUGACGGCCUUCGGGUUGUAAACCGCUUUCGCCUGUGACGAAGCGUGAGUGACGGUAAUGGGUAAAGAAGCACCGGCUAACUACGUGCCAGCAGCCGCGGUGAUACGUAGGGUGCGAGCGUUGUCCGGAUUUAUUGGGCGUAAAGGGCUCGUAGGUGGUUGAUCGCGUCGGAAGUGUAAUCUUGGGGCUUAACCCUGAGCGUGCUUUCGAUACGGGUUGACUUGAGGAAGGUAGGGGAGAAUGGAAUUCCUGGUGGAGCGGUGGAAUGCGCAGAUAUCAGGAGGAACACCAGUGGCGAAGGCGGUUCUCUGGGCCUUUCCUGACGCUGAGGAGCGAAAGCGUGGGGAGCGAACAGGCUUAGAUACCCUGGUAGUCCACGCUGUAAACGGUGGGUACUAGGUGUGGGGUCCAUUCCACGGGUUCCGUGCCGUAGCUAACGCUUUAAGUACCCCGCCUGGGGAGUACGGCCGCAAGGCUAAAACUCAAAGGAAUUGACGGGGCCCCGCACAAGCGGCGGAGCAUGCGGAUUAAUUCGAUGCAACGCGUAGAACCUUACCUGGGUUUGACAUGGAUCGGGAGUGCUCAGAGAUGGGUGUGCCUCUUUUGGGGUCGGUUCACAGGUGGUGCAUGGCUGUCGUCAGCUCGUGUCGUGAGAUGUUGGGUUAAGUCCCGCAACGAGCGCAACCCUUGUUCACUGUUGCCAGCACGUUAUGGUGGGGACUCAGUGGAGACCGCCGGGGUCAACUCGGAGGAAGGUGGGGAUGACGUCAAGUCAUCAUGCCCCUUAUGUCCAGGGCUUCACGCAUGCUACAAUGGCUGGUACAGAGAGUGGCGAGCCUGUGAGGGUGAGCGAAUCUCGGAAAGCCGGUCUCAGUUCGGAUUGGGGUCUGCAACUCGACCUCAUGAAGUCGGAGUCGCUAGUAAUCGCAGAUCAGCAACGCUGCGGUGAAUAAAUUCCCGGG